UCUGUUUCGAACCCUAUGGUGGAAAUAAUUUCAGAUUCGAUUUGCUAAAAAACUCAAAGCCAUCAAAUUCCCUCUCUCACAAUAUUCAGAUUUCAGAUUCAAAGUCAUCCACUUCCAUCUCAUCGCGGCCAAUUGCGGAAUACAAUUUCGAAGGGUAUAAACUAGGAUUUGGGCAUUUCGGCGGCACCAUCUUCCAGUUGUUCUCGAAUCAAGAACUGAGAGAGAAAAUUUGAAAGGCAUCAUCAGCAGUGUAAAGAUCGGUAAGAACCACCAUUAGAUGUGUUUAUGGCUUUCGAUUUUUCGUCGAUCUGCGGUAUGUUGAUUUGGGGGUUGUUCAUUUGAAAAUCGAAAAAAUCACCUACCGAUUUCAUUAUGUCGAUCGUCAUUUUUAGAAUAUGUGGAAUUUGUCGACUGGAAUUUCAUCAUCUAGGGUUCGAAACUAUUCUACUGAUUGUUUGAUUUCAACACCUGCGAGUUUCAAUAAAUUGUUUCUUUGUUUGCCUCUUUUUUUGCAAUGAACUGAAUAUUUCAUAUAUUUUUUGUUAGAAUACCAAUUUAACGAGCAACAAUUACGCUACCAAAGGCUAAUGUGAUUGCAUAAUUUGUUCCUUUUAAGUCACUUCUGCAUAUUAUUGAAUUCCAUAUAUGGGCAUUGAUUUAUUUCGUUCAUUAAUUUGAAAUUCACAUUAUUUUAUGAACGCAUAUACAUGAAAAUCGGGACACAAAUAGAGCGAAGACCAGGC
This 743-nucleotide long non-coding RNA is filed under the name Salvia miltiorrhiza (redroot sage). RNAcentral's name for it is "long non-coding RNA (SMIL_LNC000459)". The record is from RNAcentral. Lineage: Eukaryota; Viridiplantae; Streptophyta; Magnoliopsida; Lamiales; Lamiaceae.